GGAUGUGAAGGCGAUCUGGCCAUGACAUCUUCACCCCAUUGAGCACCAGGGUUGCUUCUGCUGAUCUGGCUGGCUGGGCAGGUAUCCCCCCACUCCAUGUGCAUCCCUCCCAAAGCAGCGUGCUGAAAGAGGACAACCACCCCCAAUGGAGCAGGACCACUGUCUCAGGCAAGGGUAUACAGGUAGCUGUGUUCCCUCGUUAGAACCUCCCAACAAGCUGUCAAAAACAGUUCAAAAUAUAAACUUACCUAGGGAACUCAAAGUUAUGAAAAUAAUAUAUGCACAUCUUAAAGUGACUAUUUCUUA
This 306-nucleotide small nuclear RNA is filed under the name Octodon degus (degu). Its description in RNAcentral is "7SK RNA (ENSODEG00000024305.1)". It matches the Rfam family "7SK RNA". Rfam says of the family: 7SK was discovered as an abundant small nuclear RNA in the mid-70s but a possible function has only recently been suggested. Two independent studies have found that 7SK RNA binds the CDK9/cyclin T complex (known as elongation factor P-TEFb). P-TEFb activates transcription by phosphorylating the C-terminal domain of RNA polymerase II. The record is from Rfam by way of RNAcentral. Lineage: Eukaryota; Metazoa; Chordata; Mammalia; Rodentia; Octodontidae.